RNAcentral lists this ribosomal RNA (426 nucleotides) under uncultured bacterium. RNAcentral's name for it is "bacterial SSU rRNA". It matches the Rfam family "Bacterial small subunit ribosomal RNA", at positions 354 to 796 of the family's 1533-position model. The record is from RNAcentral.
GUGGGGAAUCUUGCGCAAUGGGCGGAAGCCUGACGCAGCAACGCCGCGUGGGGGACGAAGGCUUUCGGGUUGUAAACCCCUUUCGACAGGAACGAAGUUGACGGUACCUGGAGAAGAAGCCCCGGCUAACUACGUGCCAGCAGCCGCGGUAAUACGUAGGGGGCGAGCGUUGUCCGGAUUUAUUGGGCGUAAAGAGCUCGUAGGCGGUUACGUAAGUCGGGUGUGAAAGCCCCAGGCUUAACCUGGGGAUGCCAUUUGAUACUGCGUUGACUAGAGUCUGGUAGGGGAUCACGGAAUUCCUGGUGUAGCGGUGAAAUGCGCAGAUAUCAGGAGGAACACCGGUGGCGAAGGCGGUGAUCUGGGCCAGUACUGACGCUGAGGAGCGAAAGCGUGGGUAGCAAACAGGAUUAGAUACCCUUGUAGUCC